UACGAAGGGUGCAAACGUUGCUCGGAAUUAUUGGGCGUAAAGAGCUCGUAGGCGGUUUGUCGCGUCGAAUGUGAAAACCCGGGGCUCAACCCCGGGCCUGCAUUCGAUACGGGCAGACUAGAGUUCGGUAGGGGAGUCUGGAAUUCCUGGUGUAGCGGUGAAAUGCGCAGAUAUCAGGAGGAACACCGGUGGCGAAGGCGGGACUCUGGGCCGAUACUGACGCUGAGGAGCGAAAGCGUGGGGAGCAAACAGG
Molecule: ribosomal RNA, 253 nt
Filed under: uncultured bacterium
Lineage: Bacteria
Description: partial 16S ribosomal RNA
Rfam family: Bacterial small subunit ribosomal RNA
Source: RNAcentral